AUCCGAGGGAUCUGAUGGAUCCGAGGGAUCUGAUGGAUCAGAUCCAUCAGAUCCAUCAGAUCCCUCGGAUCCAUCAGAUCCCUCGGA
Paramuricea clavata is the source of this 87-nucleotide non-coding RNA. NCBI's taxonomy places the organism in Eukaryota, Metazoa, Cnidaria, Anthozoa, Malacalcyonacea, Plexauridae. The record is from the annotation of a GenBank genome assembly.